RNAcentral lists this transfer RNA (73 nucleotides) under Sediminibacterium sp. Its description in RNAcentral is "tRNA-Ala". It matches the Rfam family "tRNA". From Rfam's summary of the family: Transfer RNA (tRNA) molecules are approximately 80 nucleotides in length. Their secondary structure includes four short double-helical elements and three loops (D, anti-codon, and T loops). The record is from RNAcentral. Lineage: Bacteria; Pseudomonadati; Bacteroidota; Chitinophagia; Chitinophagales; Chitinophagaceae.
GGGGAAUUAGCUCAGUUGGUAGAGUAUUUGCAUGGCAUGCAAGAGGUCAGCGGUUCGAACCCGCUAUUCUCCA